This 812-nucleotide long non-coding RNA is filed under the name Homo sapiens (human). RNAcentral describes it as "HSALNT0373616". The record is from RNAcentral. Lineage: Eukaryota; Metazoa; Chordata; Mammalia; Primates; Hominidae.
UUUUUUUUGACGGAGUCUCGCUGUGUCACCAGGCUGGAGUGCAGUGGAGCGAUCUUGGCUCACUCCGCCUCCCAGGGGCGGGGUUUCACCAUGUUAGCCAGGAUGGUGUCCAUCUCUUGACCUCGUGAUCCGCCUGCCUGCGCCUCCCAAAGAGCUGGGAUUACAGGCCUGAGCCACCGCGCCCGGCCGUACAGUUUGUAUUCUAACACCAACUCAUAAGGGAAUAAACCAGGGUUACAAGUGUUGCUGCCUCACCAUGGACAUCCCACAGGACAAUCCACUGAACAAAUAACCCUUUUGUGUAGAUCCAGGAUACUUUUCACUUCCUAAACAUAAAUCCCACCACAUCUGUUCAACCAGCUCUGCUCCAGGAUAAAAAAAUAUAUAUUGAUGAAUUUCCAGCCUUGUUUCAUAUUCUGUUGUUCCCGGCAGCAGAUUUAUUUUUUAUAGUUGUAAACCGCCAAGUCAUUUUUUGGUGCUGUCUUUUGUUUUAUAAAGUCUUCCCUAUAAAGACAAACUACAGAGCAUUAUCAAGAUUUUCUGUUAAAUUGUAAAGUUCUUUAGACUUAAAUUUAAAUUAAGAUAUAUUCUUUAAGUACAAAUGAUAUUUUUAAAUUUAUCUAAGGGCCUGGUGGAGUAUGAAGACAAAAAGAAAGAAAACUCUUAAAGAGGGUCACCUUCACUGAUAUUGGCAAAUCCUUGUGUUUUCUGUCUGAAAGAUGAUUCAUGAAUGUUUUGCAUCACUUUCCUUUAGAGAAAGAGUGCAUUCUUAAAGCAUAAACAAUACCUAUUACAAAGCAGCUUCAGUUUUU